AUUGAACGCUGGCGGCAUGCCUUACACAUGCAAGUCGAACGGUAACAGGUCUUCGGAUGCUGACGAGUGGCGAACGGGUGAGUAAUACAUCGGAACGUGCCCGAUCGUGGGGGAUAACGGAGCGAAAGCUUUGCUAAUACCGCAUACGAUCUACGGGUGAAAGCAGGGGACCGCAAGGCCUUGCGCGGACGGAGCGGCCGAUGGCAGAUUAGGUAGUUGGUGGGAUAAAAGCUUACCAAGCCGACGAUCUGUAGCUGGUCUGAGAGGACGACCAGCCACACUGGGACUGAGACACGGCCCAGACUCCUACGGGAGGCAGCAGUGGGGAAUUUUGGACAAUGGGCGAAAGCCUGAUCCAGCCAUGCCGCGUGCAGGAUGAAGGCCUUCGGGUUGUAAACUGCUUUUGUACGGAACGAAAAGACUCUUUCUAAUAAAGAGGGUCCAUGACGGUACCGUAAGAAUAAGCACCGGCUAACUACGUG
Molecule: ribosomal RNA, 482 nt
Filed under: uncultured bacterium
Lineage: Bacteria
Description: partial 16S ribosomal RNA
Rfam family: Bacterial small subunit ribosomal RNA
Source: RNAcentral